CUGCCGGUGACAAACCGGAGGAAGGUGGGGAUGACGUCAAGUCCUCAUGGCCCUUAUGGUAGGGCUUCACACGUCAUACAAUGGUCGGUACAGAGGGUUGCCAAGCCGCGAGGUGGAGCCAAUCCCUUAAAGCCGAUCGUAGUCCGGAUCGUAGUCUGCAACUCGACUACGUGAAGUCGGAAUCGCUAGUAAUCGCAGAUCAGCAUGCUGCGGUGAAUACGUUCCCGGGUCUU
RNAcentral lists this ribosomal RNA (233 nucleotides) under uncultured Thauera sp. Its description in RNAcentral is "partial 16S ribosomal RNA". It matches the Rfam family "Bacterial small subunit ribosomal RNA", at positions 1149 to 1382 of the family's 1533-position model. Lineage: Bacteria; Pseudomonadati; Pseudomonadota; Betaproteobacteria; Rhodocyclales; Zoogloeaceae. The record is from RNAcentral.